Molecule: long non-coding RNA, 207 nt
Filed under: Physcomitrium patens
Lineage: Eukaryota; Viridiplantae; Streptophyta; Bryopsida; Funariales; Funariaceae
Description: long non-coding RNA (PPAT_LNC003758)
Source: RNAcentral
GAUGGCUGAUAUUACAAGAUAGCAACAAAACUACCAACAAAAAAGUUGAUUAAGUCACUUUAACCAACAAAAAUAAAUGAAAAAGCAUUGUUCAAGUAGCAUUAUUGAUGGCAUUGUAAAUUUUUUUUUCUAUAAAAAAUGUAAGUUUUUUAUUGGUAACAUAUGUAGUGGAAUCAAUAUGGUUGUGUCUAUAAUAAUUUGACAUUU